ACACCUCAACUCUCAUGGCCCGCCAUGAUGAGCUUGGACUUUGGGGGUCUUGCCGGCCUGACCGCCGGCUCCUCUCAAACGCAUCAGCUUGCCAGUGUUUGGUGGCAUCACAGGUGUGAUAACUAUCUACGCUUGUGGUUCUCCGCCAGGUAACCUUCAGUGAUGGGGGUUCGCUGGGGCUCACAGAUGUCACUCCUCAGGGAAGACACUUUUUGAAC
This 218-nucleotide unclassified non-coding RNA is filed under the name uncultured Tomentella. Its description in RNAcentral is "sequence contains ITS2". The record is from RNAcentral. Lineage: Eukaryota; Fungi; Basidiomycota; Agaricomycetes; Thelephorales; Thelephoraceae.